CACCAGGGAAGAUUAAGCACAUUCACAUGCAGAAGAAAAUCAACGUGGGCAUAAUGAAGCCAAAGGACUUACUGAUCCUGGGAAAGGAGUUUUUAAUGGGAGUGCUGAUACAACCUUGAUUACAGUUGCAUGAGCAAUGCAUAUCAUGGACUAAGCAAGUAUCAUCAGUUCUGAUAUCAUGAAAUUAGAAAUUAGAGCUGGAGUAAUCUAAUCAGACCAGCGUGAAAGCCUAUGCAAAGAAAAUCUGCAGAACCCGUAUCCAGUGAAUUAAAGGAUAUGCAGUCAUGGUUGAUUUAAAAUGUGAAAAGCCAACUGUGACGGUACAAGAUAAACACGUUAUCAUGAAUGAGG
This is a long non-coding RNA of Mauremys mutica (yellowpond turtle), 351 nucleotides long. RefSeq lists it as uncharacterized. The record is from RefSeq and is a predicted model, not a curated record. Lineage: Eukaryota; Metazoa; Chordata; Testudines; Geoemydidae. The transcript is spliced from 3 exons.